Molecule: ribosomal RNA, 253 nt
Filed under: uncultured bacterium
Lineage: Bacteria
Also listed under: 1 other name
Description: partial 16S ribosomal RNA
Rfam family: Bacterial small subunit ribosomal RNA
Source: RNAcentral
UACGUAGGGGGCUAGCGUUACCCGGAAUCACUGGGCGUAAAGGGAGCGUAGGUGGCCUGACAUGUCAACUGUGAAAACCCGGAGCUCAACUCCGGACUUGCAGUUGAAACUGCCAGGCUUGAGGACGGUAGAGGAAGACGGAACUGCCAGUGUAGGGGUAAAAUCCUUAGAUAUUGGCAGGAACGCCGGUGACGAAGGUGGUCUUCUGGGCCGGAUCUGACACUGAGGCUCGAAAGCCAGGGGAGCGAACGGG